GACGAACGCUGGCGGCGUGCUUAACACAUGCAAGUCGAACGAUGAAGCCUAGCUUGCUAGGUGGAUUAGUGGCGAACGGGUGAGUAAUACGUGAGUAACCUACCUUUAACUCUGGGAUAAGCCUGGGAAACUGGGUCUAAUACCGGAUACGACCAAUCUCCGCAUGGGGUGUUGGUGGAAAGCGUUAUGUAGUGGUUAUAGAUGGGCUCACGGCCUAUCAGCUUGUUGGUGAGGUAACGGCUCACCAAGGCGACGACGGGUAGCCGGCCUGAGGGGGUGACCGGCCACACUGGGACUGAGACACGGCCCAGACUCCUACGGGAGGCAGCAGUGGGGAAUAUUGCACAAUGGGCGCAAGCCUGAUGCAGCGACGCCGCGUGAGGGAUGACGGCCUUCGGGUUGUAAACCUCUGUUAGCAGGGAAGAAGAGAAAUUGACGGUACCUGCAGAGAAAGCGCCGGCUAACUACGUG
This 471-nucleotide ribosomal RNA is filed under the name uncultured bacterium. RNAcentral's name for it is "partial 16S ribosomal RNA". It matches the Rfam family "Bacterial small subunit ribosomal RNA", at positions 28 to 507 of the family's 1533-position model. The record is from RNAcentral.